GACGAACCGUGCGAACGUUGUUCGGAUUCACUGGGCUUAAAGGGCGCGUAGGCGGGUGCUCAAGUCAGGGGUGAAAUCCUCCCGCUUAACGGGAGAACAGCCUUUGAUACUGGGUGUCUCGAGGGAGGUAGGGGCAGGUGGAACUUCCGGUGGAGCGGUGAAAUGCGUAGAUAUCCUGAGGAACGCCGGUGGCGAAAGCGGCGUGCUGGACACCUUCUGACGCUGAGGCGCGAAAGCCAGGGGAGCGAACGGG
RNAcentral lists this ribosomal RNA (253 nucleotides) under uncultured bacterium. RNAcentral describes it as "partial 16S ribosomal RNA". It matches the Rfam family "Bacterial small subunit ribosomal RNA", at positions 524 to 776 of the family's 1533-position model. The record is from RNAcentral.